Molecule: long non-coding RNA, 3772 nt
Organism: Neofelis nebulosa (Clouded leopard)
Lineage: Eukaryota; Metazoa; Chordata; Mammalia; Carnivora; Felidae
Exons: 4
Source: RefSeq, a predicted model, not a curated record
UCCAAAGAAGAGACACCGCUGUAUGGAGAAGCUUGGAGCCUGAGUCCUAAACCGAGAUCCUUCCCACGGUCCCCAUAACACCUCAGCAAGGUGGAUAAGACAGAGCAUACGGACGGAGACACAGAGGCCCAGAGAGUGCAAAGGAUGUGCCCGAGGUUGUGGAGCUCACGAACACACGCUGGCCUCGUACCCAGGAAUUGGGGCUCAAACCCCAGCCUCUUUGUGGCGCACGGAGACCAAGUUACUGCAGGAAACAGAGCUCGACUCAGAACCGGGUCUGCCUGUUUGACGCUUGAACUGGUCCGGGGAGGCGGGGUGCAGAGAGCAAGCAUCAGAUCGGCGAUGCAGGGUGGCUAAGCGCCCUGUGUUUAUUGUGCCCGGACUGAAUCCACCUCUUGUCUGUGUGUGGGAGUGCGGCGGGCUGGUGGUGGAAUUCAAGAAUGCCCGUUCUUUCAGCAGGAAGGGCAGCAAAUGGCCCCUCGUGCGUCGGUUGGUCUCCGCGAGGACGUGGAACGCAUUUCUCCGAGGCCACAGCUGGCGACAUCUGUGGCAUCAGGGGGCCGCAGCUGCCUCUGAGUUCCAACUGCGGAGUCUCUGCCCCGGAGCUGAAGGGCGGGCCACUGGCUGGACUUCACUGGUAGCCUGGCCUCUGGUCAGCUUACUGCGGCCACCGGAAGGCAGUGGGAAUGUUCCGGCCCGGGACCUGGGGCCCCCGGGAGGAAAAGCGUCCUGGCAAGGGAGUGACUGGCUGUGUUCCCGAGGCCCCCGGCCCAGUUUACCUUGUCUGCAACCCCUGUGGCAACUUCAGGCUGGGAACCUGGAGAGACAUUCUGGUCCUGGGGGAAGAGCACUGAAUUUGGAGUCACACGACGCAAGCACCAGUCUCAGAUCUGCUGUGGCCUAAGUGCCCAGCUCUGGGACUCCUAAAAAAAAUGGCAGAAGAGACCGAAAAUGACUUAGCCCGCGCUGUGAACGGUGAGCGACACACCGUGGGCCUGAGCAGCCAUCUACCAUGCCCACGUCAGAAAUUUCUGGACUAUCUCGACCAGAUGCUUACUGAGCACGUGUACAUGUACUCAGUCUCUGUGCUGGGUCCUGAGCAUGUCAACACGAAUGCUUUGGUUCCUGUCCUCAGGACGCUCCCCAUCCAGUUGGACCGAUCACUGACCAGGAUACAAGUACUCAGAGAGGGAAGGCAUGAAGCCAGCCUGGAUGGAAAUAAAGAAGGUUUAACUCCUAAAGAAGGAGAUAAUGGAGCCGAUUUGCCGUGGGUGAGCAGUUCGAGGUUGGCCGGAGCAAGGCUUGAGCCUAGCUAUACUGAGACACGAUGCCAUCUAGGAAGACACAAGCAAAGUGGAUUCUGCAAGAACUUGGUUGCAAAGAAUUAGCGCAUGAUCCCAUAGGCAAUGGGAGCCACUGAAGAACUUGGAGCAGGAGAGUGAUGUGAUUGAUGGACGAGUGUCUAAACAUCUCUCUCUCUAGCAGCUGCGAGAUGGAUGAGGCUGGAGACUGGACUGAAGUCAGUGUUUCUGUGGAGCCCAUCCUCAGCACAAUGGUCUGGUCACCAUCAUCUCUCACCUUCAGCUUUGCCCCAAGAGGUCAGUGCGACCCAUCCUGCUUAAAGCCGUCUGGAGUUUGCCAUCACCCCACCGACAGCCCCUGCAUGGUUCGGCCACCGGUCACCUGCCAACCUCAGCUCUUGCCACUUUUCACUCACCCUCUGUGCACCAGAAAACCCGUCGUUCCUCAAACCGGCAUGUUCUCUUUCUUCCGGGCCCGCAAGCAUAUGGUUUCCUGUUUCUCCUGCUCGCCUCCUAACCCUAUCCCUCCCAAUGCCACUACUCUUAAUCUUAACCUAGAUGUCCCUUCUGUUUGGAAAACUUUUCUGACCCCCAGGGCCAGGUGAGGUACUCCUGCCCUGUGUUACCCCUGCAGCCUGCACCAGCACGGUCCUUGCCUGCUUUACAGCCUAUGCUCCCACCAGCUUGUAGCAAGGUGAAGUUGUAACACGAAAAGUGGACUCUCCUGGUGACUUCUCUGCUCUAGUGCCUGGUGCGGCCCGUGGCAUAUUUGCACUGGUCUUUACUGAGUGCAUGACUGGAGGCGAAACAACCCUGAGGGUCACCCACACAUGUGCAUGUGCAGCAGAAGGCUCAAGGACAGAGUGGGGCCAAGGGGAUGGAGAGAAGAAGCAGAAGCUUCUGAAGACUUUGGCGAGUGCUGUCAGCGGUAUCUAGCUCCUCUUCAGCUUUCCCUAUCACUCCUGUCAGGUGUGGUCAAGGAUCCACGGCUUCCAAGAAUGCGUCCUAAGGGGAGGAAAGCGUAACGUCAUGCGACAGACUGUAAAAUCACGGCUCCCUAUGAACCCCUCCACGACAACAUUCACCACGUAGCCUUCCAUCCUGUCUUUAAGCUUCUCUCCCGCCGGACUAAAAAGUCCUUGAGGGAAGGGCGAGGGCAUAUCAAGGUCUCCACCCCCAGCGAUCUGCAGAGCGUGGUGCGCAGUAGACUCCUUGGAAAAGCUGACUACGUUCAUCAGAGGUCGGCUGAGAUUCAGUUCCUGGCCUCGAGGAGCUCACGGCAGCAGAAGAAAGGGUCUGUAUCUGCAGGCAACCUGCCCUGGAACAAAGCAAAGCAUUCUGAAGCUUACUCUUGCAUGGAAAAGCAAAGGAGUGUCGAUAGGUGCUUCGAAGCGACAAAAAAUACACGAGUGCCAGUUGUGGGCACCUUCCAACGUCCCGAAACAUCACUGGUUUCUGCCAAACAUUUCACAUACUCCUCAUAUUGCAAGACGUUGCUUGUUUAUCAAGUUAAAAUUUAUUAGAGGUGCUUGCUUGUCUGGUGAAACACUUGCAGAACAAGUUAGUCUCGAUGCAAGGUUUUACUGUAUUUGAUGUUCAUUCUUGAGGAUAAGAAAAUGGGAAAAUGCUUUUUCCCAAACUACCAGUAGAGGCUCAAUAAGGGUCUCAGUCCAUCAACCAACCCCCCUUGGCUUAUAAGAUGAGCCAGACGGUCUUGGCUUAUCUGGGAAGCCAUGAAAACAGACUCCUCCCACGUCACACCAUCCUCCUGUCCUGCAUGACUGACGGGAACCUAGCGACACAGAGAGUUCUUGACCCCCUCCAGCCACUGCAUGGAUUUGGUGUCUACUGUGUUACCGUGGCAUCUUGGAGUGGCUGCCAGGCCCAGACAUGCCCGUCCCUGUCCUGGAGGAGGGCGUUUCCCUAGCUGUGGCCCAAGCUUGCUCAUGUACCAACCGCACCGAAGAAAAGAUAUGUACAAAUGCCAGCAAGAGUUCAGCAAGAGCCGCGGGUAUGAGAAUCUACACGAAAGGGGGAAGUCAAGACAACCGUGGUGCUGGGUGAGUCUGGUGCUCACAGGAAGCAGAGGGGUUUCCUGACUAGAACAGAAAGUACCCGAGAGAGGAGGGAGAAGACCAGCCUCGUGGAGGUGACUCGGGGUCAUAACGGAAUGUCAACCCCAAUCCUUUAGUUUGUGUCUUACCGCUAGUUGAGUGAGCGCUCUUGACUCUGGAUGGUCUCCAUUAACACUACCAACGAGAAUUUUUCCUGAAGCCCUUCUCGGGAAGUGGCUGUUUGAACCCCACCAAGAGGCCCUUUCUCCAACAGUGUGCACACUCCCGGAGCCCCUCCACACAAAUGUUUCAUGUGGUGUAGCCGAGAAUUAAUUAGAAAAAGAAAAAAAAUCUCUCAAGUCAAAACACAUAUCUCACAACCUAUUAGCAUUAAGAUUAGCAUUAAAGAAAGUUGGA